GACUCAGAUAGCUCAGUUGGUUAAAGCAUGGUGCUGGUAAUGUCAGGGUUGCAGGUUCGAUCCCCAUACGGGGCA
Podarcis lilfordi (Lilford's wall lizard) is the source of this 75-nucleotide non-coding RNA. Lineage: Eukaryota; Metazoa; Chordata; Lepidosauria; Squamata; Lacertidae. The record is from the annotation of a GenBank genome assembly.